UAAAAGCCAAAUAAAAAAAAAACAAGUUGAUUGCUUUAUAAUAGUUUUAUUUUUUCAACUCUGUCUUUUGUUUCUUUGAUUAAAGGACAUCUUUGCCCUAAUAAAUCCUCAUAUUGAUUCUAUCUCCAAAAAUGUGUUAAUAUUCCCUUUCAUUCACCUUUCUAGUACAACUUUAUCCACUUAAAUUCUGAACCUCUUACUUGAUCCUCCCUUACCUAAACCACCAGACAAUCAAGUUGCCUGUACCACACUCAAAAAAGAACUCAGACACUUCAUAAACAUGACACAAACAUGAUUUACAUUUUUGUUCAGUUUCUGUAAAUAUAUUAAUUUCAGCAUUAUUUAACUGUCUUCCAGCUACUUCUUUACUCUUUAUCUUUCAAAUUCAAAUUGUAGGUAAGCGUUUAUUGCACUCGUAUUGGUAUCAUUAUCCAAAGUUAUUAAUUGAUCUGCCUCUGCUAGUUUCACAAGUGCAUCACCCAGAAAGGACUUUUCCAGUUUCUUCUCACUAUAGCCUCCCAAUUUACAUAUGAUCACUCUAUACUCACGUCCUUAAGUUAGUGGGUUGUGUUAUGCUUAGUAAGUAAUGACUUUUCCUUUUCUUCAGUUAAAGAAGCAUUUUCCUAAUAAUCCUCAUACCAGCUCUCCCUAAAAAUGCGUUCUUGUCCCUCUUGCUUCUACACUUAAUUUAUGCUCCCCUAAAUUUAUGUCUACCCCUCUUCUUAGGAAGCAUUCCACUAGCCUGCCAAUAGCCAGCCUAACACCGUAUACUGAGGAAAACUGGGAACAAGACUCAUCCAGUCAGGACUCCAAUAGCCUAGAUCUAUUCUUCAGUUUACUCCUACAACCCAAUUCCAAUUUACAUAUGGCCACUCUUCUUCCAUUUCUGCUAUAUUCUGUAAUCUAGAUAUUCACACCAGGGACUUGUUAUUUUUCCACUCUGUUAGCUACUGUCUUAUCUUUCCCUCAUCUAUAUAGAAUCACUCUUUCCAACAAUGAUUACUAUUUCCCCUUGUUUACACUAUAGCUUGAUGCACUCUCUCAUUCAUUAAUUUUAAUCUUUUUAAUUUAAUGCGCUUUUGAAAUCAAAAGAAAAGCAGCUGUCAUGCAAUUGAUAUCUUUUUUACUCAUAUACACACAAAUUGAGCAGAGUUAGCUUUUUGGUGUUGAUGAACAGAGUCAAUCUAUCUCUGCUUGGAAUUGAUCUGACUCUGUAUGUUGUCUAAUCUGUUAGAUUUCACACUGUACCAUGAAAGAGUUGGUGUCAAAAUGGAGUGUUAUAACUGUUUUCUAGAAAUCAACUCUGACAGUGUUAGGAGUGACUGACCUAGAUCAGACUGGUCACUGAUUCGUCCGUCCUUUUGGCAGGAGUUAGGACCCCUCCCUUAACUCUAGUGGAAUGCACAGCAGGUGGAAGGAAGGAUAUUUUGUGGAAGAAGACUUUUCGCAUUGUGUCGGAAAUGCUGGCGAAAGUGGAGAUAGGAGGAUUUCAGACAUAUAUUAAAGUUCCAUAGACUGAUGAACUCUUUCAAUUUGAGAAGUUCCUUCAAGAAGACCGUAAAAACAAACCAAGUGGGUUGAAAAUGGAUGAUGAGAGCAAACACCUGUGUUUGAAUGCCAUACAGCCAUGGUGUUUUUGCACAACACUCCACUGAUAUUUGGUGAUGUCACU
Ictalurus punctatus (channel catfish) is the source of this 1672-nucleotide long non-coding RNA. RefSeq lists it as uncharacterized. NCBI's taxonomy places the organism in Eukaryota, Metazoa, Chordata, Actinopteri, Siluriformes, Ictaluridae. The transcript is spliced from 3 exons. The record is from RefSeq and is a predicted model, not a curated record.